CCUUACCAGGUCUUGACAUCCUCUGACAACCCUAGAGAUAGGGCUUCCCCUUCGGGGGCAGAGUGACAGGUGGUGCAUGGUUGUCGUCAGCUCGUGUCGUGAGAUGUUGGGUUAAGUCCCGCAACGAGCGCAACCCUUGAUCUUAGUUGCCAGCAUUCAGUUGGGCACUCUAAGGUGACUGCCGGUGACAAACCGGAGGAAGGUGGGGAUGACGUCAAAUCAUCAUGCCCCUUAUGACCUGGGCUACACACGUGCUACAAUGGGCAGAACAAAGGGCAGCGAAGCCGCGAGGCUAAGCCAAUCCCACAAAUCUGUUCUCAGUUCGGAUCGCAGUCUGCAACUCGACUGCGUGAAGCUGGAAUCGCUA
This 367-nucleotide ribosomal RNA is filed under the name Bacillus licheniformis. Its description in RNAcentral is "bacterial SSU rRNA". It matches the Rfam family "Bacterial small subunit ribosomal RNA", at positions 969 to 1337 of the family's 1533-position model. Lineage: Bacteria; Bacillati; Bacillota; Bacilli; Caryophanales; Bacillaceae. The record is from RNAcentral.